GCCUGGGUGGCUCAGUCAGUUAAGUGUCUGACUUCAGCUCAGGUCAUGAUCUCAAGGUUUGUGGGUUCAAGCUCCACAUCAGGCC
This is a non-coding RNA of Felis catus (domestic cat), 85 nucleotides long. Lineage: Eukaryota; Metazoa; Chordata; Mammalia; Carnivora; Felidae. The record is from Rfam.